GACAUAGAUAGUCUGGGCACCAGUGACUAUACAAGGCACAGAACUUCUAUGAUACAUGAUGCAAAUUAUCUGGAUGCCGCGGGACCCCAUGUGCAUUGGCAAUGGGCGUUCGGAAAGUCCUUUGUUUAGGUAAAAUAAACUCUCGAGGGCAUGCAGCGCAUCUAUCUUUGUUAAGGGUCGACGCUCAUAUUAGUCUAUCCUAAAGAAAACCGAAAGAUGAGAGAAGAAAGUAAGCUUCCUCUCUCUUCACCCCAGUGUUCUGCAGUGAAUAUUUUUCUGCUGUCUGACUACAGGCCAGAUGCCCUUUCCUAGCAACCCUAACAGAGGCGAUAGACAGAGGGACGGGCGGGGCAGGUAUCAGCAGCGAUCACUGAAAGGAAGCUGCCAAAAGCAACAAUUGCAAGCAAUAAUAGCAAAGUCCACGAGCUGAUUAGGAAAUUUCUGCACAGCGGCUGCCCCCAGGAGCUCUGCAACGCUCAUUCGGUUGCUCAGCCUUAACUCACUCCCUACGUCAUCAGCAUCGCUGUGGGAAGGCGAGGGGGUGAGACGGGACCGUGGUGGUGGUGGUGGUGGGGGUCUGUAUGUAUUAAUUAAAGUGAGGUGUAGCCUCGGCUGGAGGGCCUUGGGGUCCCUAAGGGGAUCACGCCUCGUGAGGCGGUAAAAUCUGCGCGCGCCAACUCUCUGAACUCGUGUCCGUCUGUUCACCAACUCUAAUCUGGAGACAUUGGGAGAGCGGCUAGGACUUAUCGCGUUCUAGUGUCUCAUGCAAGUAAGUCCUACUCCAGCAGGCUCCUGUCCUCUUGGUACCGGGAGACGUGAGCUGCCUCUAAGCAGACCCAUCUCCCAACAAGAAGCUCCUCACAAGGCUACUGUCCCGUCACCUGGGAGCAAACCCAUACCUGAAGAGCUAUUCCUCGUCCACGUCUGUGACAAACUGAGAGUGGUGUUCGGGUGACUUGGCGUGCGUUUUGCUCAGGUGGAGUUUUACUGCGUGUUUGCUCGCAAAUGUCCGACAGCACAACUUACACUUGAACUUAGAGUCUGUGUCCUCUUCGCCAGCUACGGUUUCCGGAGACCUCUGAGCCGACGACACCCGCGAGAUCUCUUGCUCCGCCUUGCCUUGCUGUUCUACCGCCAUGCGGGUCAUGUCCUUCAUUUGGAAACCCAGGUGGGACUCCAGGUGGCUGAUGUAGGUGGAAGGGGUUCUAAACUGGGAGGCACAGUCACUGCAAUAAAAGACGGGGUGUCCUUUGUCCAUGUUUUUCAGGAACUUUGUCCCGCCCGUUUUCCGAAGUUGGUACUUGACGUUUGCCAGCCAGUGGCUGAUCGUGGUCAUCGAGAGCCCCGUGAACUUCGAGAUUUGCAUUCGCUCUUGAGGGCCCAGGUCGGACAGCAGGUACUUGCCCUCGGACGUCUGGAACAGACUCGAGGCGAACUGCGCUUGUAGGAUCAGGAGGUGCUGAGGGUUCCAGUUGGACUGCCGGCCCUUCCUCUUAUGCAGGGUCGAGACCUCGCUGGAGACGUCCUCAAAGCGCCUGACAUCCAUUUCCAGCUUCAUGGGGGCGCCCCGCGAGGAAGCGGCGGGCUUUGGGGUGGUGGCCUUGGGGAGGACCUUGACCAUGUCGGCGAUGUCAGACAGGGCGUGCUUCUGAGGUGGGGACGUACAGGAUUGUGCUUGCGAGGACUCGGCUUUCUUGCUCUUGGACUUGGUCAGGUCGAUGGGCUGAUCGUUGCUCUCGAACAGGUAGCGCCUGGACACGCUGGCCGGCCGCGUGGGGGCAGGACUCAAGCCCGGCUUGUCCAUGACGCCGAGACUCGACUUGUGGAACAUCGACAUUGUGCUUGAGCUUGGGCUGGAGCAGGAAGGGGAGCGCAGGGGUUCCGUGGCCUUGCCCAGGUGAUUGUUCAGGACGGACUGCAGGGCGCUGAGUGGGUUGAUGCAUGGCAGGGCUGGGGCACGCGUGGGCAGGGCGCACCCGUUGCUGAGGGAGUGCGCUGGCUCGAGGGGCGGGCGUUUCUCGGGCUCGCCGCCCUCCUCCACCAGCCUGGCCUCCUCCUUCAGGAGACAAGGCUCAGCCUUCUUGGACUCGGAAGGGGUUUCGCUCUUGGAGAAAGCAUCCCCGUCGCAGUGGCUGAAAGGCGAGGCCUCUUCCUGGGGACUUUCUUUCCCACACUCCUUCGCGACCUCGUCUUUGUCGUCUGGCUCCUUCUUCACUUGAGUGUAUGGGGCCAGGUUGGUGGGCACAGAGACCAGCGGCAUUACUUUCCACUUUGGGGCAAUUGGCCUCAGCUUGUUGGUGAGGUUAGGGCGAAUCUGCAGGACCUGGGAUCCCAAGGGCAGGGCAGGCUUGGCGCCCUCCGACAGCUGAUAGGCCGCGUGGAUGCUGGGGUACGCGCUCCAGCUGGGAGCCCCGUUCUGGGCUUUGUUGAUGGCCGUGGUGACGGUGUUUUCCAACGACUUCAAAAUGUCCCCUCCGCCCUUGGAGCCGUCUUCCAAAUCCUCCUCCCUUAGAUACUGAUACUUCAUUGUAGGGUCUAACGGCUUCUGGAGAGCGUCUUCGUACUCCUCGCUCUUCAGGACUUUCUCGUCCUUGCUGAUCUCCUCCGGUUUUUCCUUUUUGCUCUCUCUCUUCGGCUCGGUUGUAGAGGCCGCACGGUCAGAGGCGGAGUCACCUGACGGCCUGGGAGCCAGCGAAUCGCUGUUUGGGGCGUCCGACAAAGCCUGCAUUUUCUCCACGGCCAGUGGGUCCAACACCAGCUGCUUCCCUUUCUUGGAGGCAGAGCUGGUGACCUUGAGAAAGUGCCCCGUGACCAUCAUGUGGGUGGUGAGCUGCUGCAGGGUGUCGUGGGAGCUGCCACACUCCAUGCACUUGAGGAUCUGGGACUUGCAGGCCUCAAACUGCCAGGUGUAGCUGGCGCCGUUCUGGUAGCCGUAGCGGUUGUUGGACGACAGCUGCAGGCCGGCCGUCUUCUGAGAGGAGAACGACUCCGCAAACGAGCCCGUGGUCGAGUCGGGGGAGCAAGGUCGGUUGACGUCGAAGACGCGCUUCUUGGCCGGGGUGACCGUUUUCGACGAAAUGGUGGGCACUGGCUCCUUCAAAGGCACUUUUUGGUAAUGUUUUGUUUUUAUCAUGUGGACGCUCAAAUCUUGGAGGGAGUCGAAGGAGUCGCCACAGAACAUGCAUUUCAGAACCUUCUGAGCAUCCUCCUUGUCCAUAUCCUGGAAAGCCCGUUUCCGGGGCUUGGAGUAGCCCGUGGGUCUCAGCUUGUCCUUUUUGCGGUUGUCGUCUUGGUAGUGGCCCGUCUCAUUCAUGUGCACGGUCAGCUCCACCAGGGUGUCGUAGGCGGCGCUGCACUGCCGGCACCGGAACCGGCUGGCCCCGGUGAACGCCGACCCGCACAUCUUGCCGCUCUGCCGGUACAGCUGCACCGAGCUGAACAGGCUGGGCUUCCCCACGGAUCGGGAAGGCAAGUUCUGCUGCAGGCUUUUGGACAGCGCGUCCUGAUGCCAGUCGAAGUCGGUCUUGCUGCUGCCGUUGCGCGGGUCGCAGGGCCGCCUCUCGCCGCCGGACAGCUUGAAGCCAAGGCCCAGGCCCGACCAGUAGGAGUCGGACAGGAUGUUGGCGUAGACGGCGGUCAUUUUAUCCAUGCAGUUGUGGCUUUCGUUGGGAGGCUUGGGGUGCGCGCUGGCUUUCUUGUCCGCGGCGUCUCGACCGCAGACGCUCUUGACGUCCGCCACCUGAUCGCUGGCAUCGCUCAGCAGAGACUCGUUCUCCACGUCCUGAUUGGACAGGUGGCUUCCCGGAGAGUUCUGGUAGCUGAAGCAGCCUUUCUGCUCGGGGCCCGUUUCUAGCUCCUCGUCUGUCCCCGGGUCAUUGCUGCCCUGAAGCGGAGCUACCGAACCACUGUCCUCCUCUUCCUCCUCUUCUUUUAUUUCCUCUCCUUCCUUCAGCUGCUCCUCCUGGGCGUAGCCUGCAAGAGA
Molecule: long non-coding RNA, 3982 nt
Filed under: Lynx pardinus (Iberian lynx)
Lineage: Eukaryota; Metazoa; Chordata; Mammalia; Carnivora; Felidae
Source: RNAcentral